AGGAGAUUAAGAUCAAUGAAUCAGAUGAUUUAUUAAAUCAACUCAACAUAAAAGCAAAUCAAAAAGGUUUAAAAAACAAACAAAUCAAAUGUGACAUGAUAUUUGAAAUCUUUGUAUACAGCUUUCUAUGUGUUGUCAAUGCACACCCCAGUUUUAAGAGUCCUUGAUUCUAAGUUAUAAGACAUUUAGUCCGUUUUGAACCAAAAUCUUAAAUCAAUAAGAUGACCUGAAAGAACUCAGUGGAUAUAAGCAAAAUUUUAAUAGACUGUUAAUAUGACCCCACUCUACAUACUUUCAGAAAUCAUAGAAAGUUUUUAAAGCUAUCAUGUUUACAAACAGACUGACGUGCAUUCAAAUGCUACCAAAAACAUCGUCUCUGUCAAUGGAAAAUUGUACUUAGUAGUCAGUAUAAGCUUUUAAUGAUAUAAGUUUGCAUAUGAUAGAAUACUGUAUGUUGACCUCUGAUGACUUAGACUGUUGUCCACUACAAGACUGUUUUAUAAAUUCUUUCUCACAGCGAUAAUAGCUGAACAAGCAGGAAGAGGAGAGCUGGACACUUUUAUCUGCGCUCUCUAACAAGAAGAAGGGCCGCGUCCUUCUGAAUCUCACAACACACACGCAUACAUCUGAACCACUCUUAUCUUCACUCCCUACGCACUAACAUUCCUCUGCCUAUGAAUAGACGUAUUCACUGUUGUAUUACUUUUGUAUAUAAAUAAAGACAAGUGCAAGAACAGAGCGCGCAUCACAGGGCCCCCACUCUGGUGUGAGCGUUCUGUGAUCGCCCUUGUAUACAAGUAAAUGCUGCAGCGUCUGUGUGUGUUUCUACCCUUAGACUCUUAGCUGAAGAAGUGUCUUUAGAAUAAAUCUCUUGACAUUUAUUUUGGUCCUUCGUAGCCGGGGCAGAAACAUCAGAACUGUUAUCUGUGACUCUGUUCCAGGAUCCAGUACUGAUUCCUGACGCCGUGGGAAGCCAGCACCGAAGUCUGUGCACAGCCCUCUUAAACGAGGCCGAAAGCCCUGGGACGUGUGAAUUCGGGUCCAGGCCGGUGUUUUUAGUCUGGUCCACGGCGGUGGGAUUCAGUCUGGCGAUCCGAAUCACCAGUGAGACGUCUGAGGGUGAGAAACACUAUUUUGGUUAGGAAUCGCCGUAAUGAACCGACAAAUAAAAUAGGUUAGGAAUCGCCGUAAUGAACCGACAAAUGAAAUAGGUUAGGAAUCGCCGUAAUGAACCGAAUAACAAACAAAAUAGAAA
Molecule: long non-coding RNA, 1255 nt
Organism: Oreochromis aureus
Lineage: Eukaryota; Metazoa; Chordata; Actinopteri; Cichliformes; Cichlidae
Source: Ensembl